RNAcentral lists this ribosomal RNA (481 nucleotides) under uncultured bacterium. RNAcentral describes it as "bacterial SSU rRNA". It matches the Rfam family "Bacterial small subunit ribosomal RNA", at positions 30 to 502 of the family's 1533-position model. The record is from RNAcentral.
AUUGAACGCUGGCGGCAUGCCUAACACAUGCAAGUCGAACGGCAGCACGGGAGCUUGCUCCUGGUGGCGAGUGGCGGACGGGUGAGUAAUGCAUAGGAAUCUGCCCAGUAGCGGGGGACAACUUGGGGAAACUCAAGCUAAUACCGCAUACGCCCUACGGGGAAAGCGGGGACCGUUCGGACCUCGCACUAUUGGAUGAGCCUAUGUCAGAUUAGCUUGUUGGUGGGGUAAAGGCCUACCAAGGCGACGAUCUGUAGCUGGUCUGAGAGGACGAUCAGCCACACUGGGACUGAGACACGGCCCAGACUCCUACGGGAGGCAGCAGUGGGGAAUAUUGCACAAUGGGCGAAAGCCUGAUGCAGCAAUGCCGCGUGUGUGAAGAAGGCCUGCGGGUUGUAAAGCACUUUCAGUAGGGAGGAAACAGUAGCCGGUUAAUAUCCGGUUGCCUUGACGUUACCUACAGAAGAAGCACCGGCUAACU